Molecule: long non-coding RNA, 1284 nt
Organism: Myotis myotis
Lineage: Eukaryota; Metazoa; Chordata; Mammalia; Chiroptera; Vespertilionidae
Exons: 3
Source: RefSeq, a predicted model, not a curated record
CUUCCAGGUCUCCACCCCGAGUGCUAUAAAAACCAGUGUCUCAUCGAGCUGAUUCACCCCUGGAAGGGGCGGAGUCCUGGUGAGGGUUCAUGCUGCAUGGAGCCGGCAGGUCUUCUGCCUCCUCUGCCAGGCCAGAGAAGACAAACCCCUCUUUGUCCUCACGGUCAGAGGGGACCAUGCCAAAUGGGCUGCCUCAAAAACAUGUCCCUGGUGUGCUCCUGAUCUGAAUAAAGCAUCCCAGCCACUGGAUCUGAAAUGCCGGGGGAAAGGAAAUAAAAUUGCUGUACCUUGGAGGGUAUGUGGAAUGAGAUGAGGGGGAUACUGAGAGCAGAGAGAGAGAGAGUGAACUAUGUUGGGUGUUAGUUAUAAAAACGCCAGCGCUGAUGCACACGGACUAAGGUUUUAAAGAAAAGGACCCCUGAGCAGAAACCGAGAGCUUCGGUCACUCAUUCCCUGAGCCCAUACAAACCUUUCUCAGAAACGACACAGAGGAGAUGAGCUGGAAUUAUCCAGCUCACAGGAAGAACGCAAACCCUGGGAAAGGAAGCUGCGCUCCCGAUACGCCACUGAACACACUGCCGAUGGGAGAAUGCAAAGCACAAGUAGCAACACACAUUGGAUCCUUUUGCACAUGGAACCAGGAGACCCCGGAAGGUCAUGCCAGCUACCCACAAGCCGAAGCAGCCCCGGUUUCUAAUCAGCUCACCCUCUGCCUCUGAACCAGCGCCGAGGCGGACGACACGCCGGGGACUCGCCACGGAGAACACACCACCUCUGCUGUGGCCGGAGACUCUCUCCACAGGUGGCCUCAGAAAACACCAGGGUGGUUCCAGCCAGACCAGUCAGUGCAAACUGGUCUUGCACUUGACAAACAGCAGGCAGUUCCUGCUGUCAGGGUCACCGCAGUGGGCUCAGAGUUCUGUUUGAGAAAUACUCCUGCCCAGAAAAAAUAUUUACACAACCGAGAGUGGGCUGCAGGCGCUCCACCUGCGCUGCCAGGAGCCUCUGGCUCUGAGUGACCGGGGGUACCAGUGGCCUUUGUACCUCCUUGAAGAUCAGCGUGGAGACAGAGCCUGGAGCCGAGUAACUGACAGGCUCACGUAUGAAAUGUAUUCUAUUAAUUUAAAAUGACAGCCGCAUUUUCAUGCAAUUCAAUAAAGACUUGAAUAAGUAAAUAAUGUUAUCUGUCUCUGGGGGGAAAUGUAUAUAUUUAGGCUGUGAAAGAGAAACAGCAAAAGAGGGCAAAACGGCAAGUAAACUAGUAAAGGCAAGUAUUCGCAAAAA